UCUCCUCCUUCCUCCUCCAGCCCCAGCCGCCAGCCCCCAUCCACGAAAAUCACAAACCCUCAUCGCAGCACGCAAAAACAUGGAUGCAGGAAGAGAUCAGAGGGCACAAAGCACUCACCAGGCUGUUCUUGAUGCUUAUGGAGCUUCUCUGUUUGGUUCUCAGGUUAGUGCCUACAAAAAAAGCAAAUGAAAUUUUAAUGAACAUCUGAAUCUUGCUUGUACUAUUCUGGUUAUUUGGUUACAGAAAUUUGAUGUCUGAUCUUUUCUACUAUUAUGUGGAAAACAUAGAAACACAGGGGGGGGCAAGAUACCCAGCAGCAACAGUGGCUGACUUCUGGUGCUUGGAACCAAGGGCUGCAUCAUACACACCCCUGGAUGCAAAAUCAGAUGCUUCCUCAUGCUUCUAUGAACAGAACACAAGGGAAUGCCCUGAACAUUCCAGUGAGUGCAGCUAUGUAUGGUAUCUUCAAUAGUCAAGGCAAUACACAGGUAAACUUGCCUGUGAACCUGGGUCCACAUACUUCAGUGGGUGACUCCAACCUAGUGUGUACUGCGCUCCAACCCCUUGUAAGUGUUUACAGUUUACAGAAAAUGGAAGAAAAAAAGAAAAAUUCCACUACGAUUGUUUUACAAGAAAUUGGCAAAAAUAAUGAUGCAGGCAAACAAAGUCGCUUAUGAAGCCCCCAUGUCAUACACGCAACUCCUACUUGCUGCUGAAGAAGAGGUUCUCUACUAACAUACUCAUGUUUGCUUGUCGUGGAUAAAAACUGUAUUAACUUACAAAAAUAAACCCAAAAA
Molecule: non-coding RNA, 798 nt
Organism: Aegilops tauschii subsp. strangulata
Lineage: Eukaryota; Viridiplantae; Streptophyta; Magnoliopsida; Poales; Poaceae
Source: RefSeq, a predicted model, not a curated record